GCUCAGUUGGUAGAGCACAAAGCUCUUAAUCUUGUGGACGUGGGUUCAAGCCCUAC
Molecule: transfer RNA, 56 nt
Filed under: Triticum aestivum (bread wheat)
Lineage: Eukaryota; Viridiplantae; Streptophyta; Magnoliopsida; Poales; Poaceae
Also listed under: 1 other name
Rfam family: tRNA
About the family: Transfer RNA (tRNA) molecules are approximately 80 nucleotides in length.
Source: Rfam by way of RNAcentral